GACGAACGCUAGCGGCGUGCUUAACACAUGCAAGUCGAACGGAAAGGCCCUGCUUUUGUGGGGUGCUCGAGUGGCGAACGGGUGAGUAACACGUGAGUAACCUGCCCUUGACUUUGGGAUAACUUCAGGAAACUGGGGCUAAUACCGGAUAGGAGCUCCUGCUGCAUGGUGGGGGUUGGAAAGUUUCGGCGGUUGGGGAUGGACUCGCGGCUUAUCAGCUUGUUGGUGGGGUAGUGGCUUACCAAGGCUUUGACGGGUAGCCGGCCUGAGGGGGUGACCGGCCACAUUGGGACUGAGAUACGGCCCAGACUCCUACGGGAGGCAGCAGUGGGGAAUAUUGCACAAUGGGCGGAAGCCUGAUGCAGCAACGCCGCGUGCGGGAUGACGGCCUUCGGGUUGUAUACCGCUUUCGCCUGUGACGAAGCGUGAGUGACGGUAAUGGGUAAAGAAGCACCGGCUAACUACGUG
RNAcentral lists this ribosomal RNA (468 nucleotides) under uncultured bacterium. Its description in RNAcentral is "partial 16S ribosomal RNA". It matches the Rfam family "Bacterial small subunit ribosomal RNA", at positions 28 to 507 of the family's 1533-position model. The record is from RNAcentral.